UUCAAAACCUACUAAGAAUGAAAGAAUGGUAGUCUCCGUAAUAGGUUUCCCUGUUACUCUUUACCUCAUUCUUCGUCUUUCUUCUUUUUUUUACAGUAAGGGAAAGAAAGCAGGUCAAGGGCAAAAACAAAUGAAAAAAAAAGACAGCUAUAUCUAAAUCCGCACAUGACUUUUAUAUUUUUUUUACAGUGCAGGAAGCAGCUCAAGGGCAAACAAAUAAAUGAGAACAAAAAUAAAAAGUAGCCCCCUGUUUCUAGAUCCACGCCUGACAUUGAUCUCUCGCGCGUAAGCCAACAAAACCAUCUCAAAAAAUAGACUGAAUAAAUUUAAUCUGGAAAGCCUUGUUACAUUACGCGUGGAUUGGCGUCCUUACUCUCUCCGUCUCAUCUUUCGCAUCUCGCAACACACACAUGACUUUGAGGUGUGUGUGUGUAAUGAAAAAUAAGAACUAAUAAUAUGAAAUUAAUCUUAAAACUGAUGUCUCGUAUGUCAGUAAGGAAAGGAACACUGAUUAGGUAAACUUAAAACUGAUGUCUCGUACGUCAGUAAGGAAAGGAACACUGAUUAGGUAAACUUAAAACUGAUGUCUCGUAUGUCAGUAAGGAAAGGAACACUGAUUAGGUAAACUUAAAACUGAUGUCUCGUAUGUCAGUAAGGAAAGGAACACUGAUUAGGUAAACUUAAAACUGAUGUCUCGUGUGUCAGUAAGGAAAGGAACACUGAUUAGGUAAACUUAAAACUGAUGUCUCGUAUGUCAGUAAGGAAAGGAACACUGAUUAGGUAAACUUAAAACUGAUGUCUCGUAUGUCAGUAAGGAAAAAUCAAGACCAACAAUACGUAGAUUAACCUAAAACUGAUCUCUCGUAAGCCAGUCAAGAAAAAAACAAACAAACUGCAGGAGAUCGGAUAACAUAUAAGCCAUCAGUCGAGUCUCCGGUUGUUCUAUUUGCUCUCUUUUACAUGUAUAUCUGUUCUUAAUUCUGUGUUGUGUCUGAUGCCAUUUAUUUACGUUUCAACUAUGUCAUAUUCUAAGUGUUUUGAUAAAGCUACUCAAUAGGGCUUUAUGACGUGUUUAACUCUUGAUUCUGUGCUUUAUCUGAUGUAAUUUGCUUAAAGUGUAACUCAUUUAUAUUGCUAAGUGUUUUGAUAAAGCUACUCAAUAGGCUAUCAUGAUUAACUUGUAUUUUGAAUCUCUAUACAAUGAAUCUGAAGCCUUUACUAAAUAUUUAUCCUCUUCCAUUCUCGUACUCAAAUUAUACAUACUAUUUUAUCACUGUUUUGAUAAAGCUACUCAAUUCGCUAUUGUAACAUAACUCAUUUGUUUUUUAAAUCUCUAUACCAGGAAUAUGAAGUAUUUAAUAAACAUUUAUUUUACU
This is a long non-coding RNA of Eriocheir sinensis (Chinese mitten crab), 1376 nucleotides long. RefSeq lists it as uncharacterized. The record is from RefSeq and is a predicted model, not a curated record. NCBI's taxonomy places the organism in Eukaryota, Metazoa, Arthropoda, Malacostraca, Decapoda, Varunidae. The transcript is spliced from 4 exons.